UGGCGCACGGGUGAGUAACACGUAUGCAACCUGCCCUCUUCAGGGGGACAACCUUCCGAAAGGGAGGCUAAUCCCGCGUAUAUCGGUUUCGGGCAUCCGAGAUCGAGGAAAGAUUCAUCGGAAGAGGAUGGGCAUGCGGCGCAUUAGCUAGACGGCGGGGUAACGGCCCACCGUGGCGACGAUGCGUAGGGGUUCUGAGAGGAAGGUCCCCCACACUGGUACUGAGACACGGACCAGACUCCUACGGAAGGCAGCAG
Molecule: ribosomal RNA, 257 nt
Filed under: uncultured bacterium
Lineage: Bacteria
Description: partial 16S ribosomal RNA
Rfam family: Bacterial small subunit ribosomal RNA
Source: RNAcentral